RNAcentral lists this ribosomal RNA (253 nucleotides) under uncultured bacterium. Its description in RNAcentral is "partial 16S ribosomal RNA". It matches the Rfam family "Bacterial small subunit ribosomal RNA", at positions 524 to 776 of the family's 1533-position model. The record is from RNAcentral.
UACGAGAGGCCCAAACGUUAUUCGGAAUUACUGGGCUUAAAGAGUUCGUAGGCGGCAUGAAAAGCAGGGUGUGAAAGCCCUCGGCUCAACCGAGGAAUUGCGCUCUAAACUGCAGUGCUUGAGGAACCUAGAGGUGAGCAGAACAGAUGGUGGAGCGGUGAAAUGCGUUGAUAUCAUCUGGAAUACCGGAGGCGAAGGCGGCUCACUGGGAGUUUUCUGACGCUGAGGAACGAAAGCCAGGGUAGCGAACGGG